CACUACUUCAGAGUCCCUAUGGGGGGUAGUGCACUACUUCAGAGUCCCUAUGGGGGGUAGUGCACUACUUCUGACCAGAGUCCCUAUGGGGUGUAGUGCACUACUUCUGACCAGAGUCCCUAUGGGGGGUAGUGCACUACUUCAGAGUCCCUAUGGGGGGUAGUGCACUACUUCUGACCAGAGUCCCUAUGGGGGGUAGUGCACUACUUCUGACCAGAGUCCCUAUGGGGGGUAGUGCACUACUUCUGACCAGAGUCCCUAUGGGGGUAGUGCACUACUUCUGACCAGAGUCCCUAUGGGGGUAGUGCACUACUUCAGAGUCCCUAUGGGGGGUAGUGCACUACUUCAGAGUCCCUAUGGGGUAGUGCACUACUUCUGACCAGAGUCCCUAUGGGGGUAGUGCACUACUUCUGACCAGAGUCCCUAUGGGGUGUAGUGCACUACUUCAGAGUCCCUAUGGGGGGUAGUGCACUACUUCAGAGUCCCUAUGGGGUAGUGCACUACUUCUGACCAGAGUCCCUAUGGGGGGUAGUGCACUACUUCUGACCAGAGUCCCUAUGGGGGGUAGUGCACUACUUCUGACCAGAGUCCCUAUGGGGGGUAGUGCACUACUUCUGACCAGAGUCCCUAUGGGGUGUAGUGCACUACUUCAGAGUCCCUAUGGGGGGUAGUGCACUACUUCAGAGUCCCUAUGGGGUAGUGCACUACUUCUGACCAGAGUCCCUAUGGGGUAGUGCAUAACCCCGUUCCCGGAGAGACUGCACCGUUUAAACACAGGAUGUGGCUUUUAAAUGGCCCCCUAUUUCCUUUAUAGUGCACUACCCAUAGUGACUCUGGUCAAAAGUAGUGCACUAUGUAGGGAAUAGGGUGCCAAGUGCCAUAAAUGAGGAGAUACUAUGGCCUGCCACCCAAAUGGCUCCUUAUGGGGCCCACUGUGAAGGGAAUAUAAUGUCAGUGUAGCCCGCAGUAUCAUAGCAACGGGAUGGAUGCCAGCGUAGCUCGCAGUAUCAUGGCAACGGGAUGGAUGCCAGCGUAGCCCGCAGUAUCAUAGCAACGGGAUGGAUGCCAGCGUAGCUCACAGUAUCAUAGCAACGGGAUGGAUGCCAGCGUAGCCCACAGUAUCAUAGCAACGGGAUGGAUGCCAGCGUAGCCCACAGUAUCAUAGCAACGGGAUGGAUGCCAGCGUAGCCCACAGUAUCAUAGCAACGGGAUGGAUGCCAGUGUAGCCCACAGUAUCAUAGCAACGGGAUGGAUGCCAGCGUAGCCCACAGUAUCAUAGCAACGGGAUGGAUGCCAGUGUAGCCCACAAUAUCAUAGCAACAGGCAGCCAUCUGUGAGCCAGACAACACAAUGUCUUAAUGUGUGCGUGUGUCUCAAAAGGCUCACUAUCCCCUAUAUUAUAGUGAACUACUUUUGACCCGGGUCCGUAGGAAGCCCCAUAGAGCUCUGGUCAACAGCAGUGCAUUAUAUAGGGAAUGGGUUACCAUUGGGGACGCAGACCAAGUUCUGUAUAAUGUUGGAUGGUUUCUCCUAAUGUCUUAAUUAAAGUGGUAUGUUUAGGCAAUAAGGCCCGAGGGGGUGUGGUAUAUGGCCAAUAUACCACGGCUGAGGGCUGUUCUUAGGAACAACACAACAUGGAGUAGCCUAGUGGUUAGAGCGUUGGGACAGAAACCGACAGGUUGCUAGAUCGAAUCCCCGAGCUGUCGUUCUGAACAAGUCAGUUAACCCACUGUUCCUAGGCCGUCAUUGUAAAUAAGAAUUUGUUCUUAUUAACUGACUUGCCGAGUUAAAUAAAGUUUAAAUAAAUAAAAUAUAUAUAUAUAAAAAAUACCACAAACCCCCGAGAAGCCUUAUUGCUAUUAUAAACUGGUUAACAACGUCAUGUUGUCAUACCCGUGGUAUACGGUCUGAUAUACCACGGCUAUUAGCCAAUCAGCAUUCAGGGCUCGAACCACCCAGUUUAUAAAUAUAUAUAUAUAUAUAUAUAUAUAUAUAUAAUGAGGGUAAUUCAUAUUGAAGGGAAGAGGUUGUGUGUUUUUCUGUUAUGGGGGUCAGUGGUAAUAACUGUAAUCACCCUGUUCCUGGAGAGAUUACCUCCUGUAGGUUUUAACUCCAACCCUGUUCCUGGAGAGAUUACCCUCCUGUAGGUUUAAACUCCAACCCUGUUCCUGGAGAGAUUACCUCCUGUAGGUUUUAACUCCAACCCUGUUCCUGGAGAGACACCCUCCUGUAGGUUUUAACUCCAACCCUGUUCCUGGAGAGAUUACCUCCUGUAGGUUUUAACUCCAACCCUGUUCCUGGAGAGACACCCUCCUGUAGGUUUAAACUCCAACCCUGUUCCUGGAGAGAUACCCUCCUGUAGGUUUAAACUCCAACCCUGUUCCUGGAGAGAAACCCUCCUGUAGGUUUAAACUCCAACCCUGUUCCUGGAGAGAUUAGCCUCCUGUAGGUUUUAACUCCAACCCUGUUCCUGGAGAGACACCCUCCUGUAGGUUUAAACUCCAACCCUGUUCCUGGAGAGACACCCUCCUGUAGGUUUAAACUCCAACCCUGUUCCUGGAGAGAUUAGCCUCCUGUAGGUUUAAACUCCAACCCUGUUCCUGGAGAGAUACCCUCCUGUAGGUUUAAACUCCAACCCUGUUCCUGGAGAGAUACCCUCCUGUAGGUUUAAACCAUUGUUUAGCAUAAAAGGGCUAUCGCUUCAUUGGUCCCUCUCAUGUAACCAAUGGCCUGAAGGAUGUUUUAUGUUUGUUUGUGACUAAAUGUUGUUUUAAAUUGUCAAUUUGUUGAAUUGUUCAUGAAUAGGUUAAUUCUUUCCCACCUGUCCUGAGGUUGGUUGUUUAUAAUUGCGUAGAUUGAAUGAUUAAAUAUCUUGUCUCUUUU
This is a long non-coding RNA of Oncorhynchus masou masou (cherry salmon), 2883 nucleotides long. RefSeq lists it as uncharacterized. The record is from RefSeq and is a predicted model, not a curated record. The transcript has 2 exons. Lineage: Eukaryota; Metazoa; Chordata; Actinopteri; Salmoniformes; Salmonidae.